RNAcentral lists this unclassified non-coding RNA (307 nucleotides) under plant metagenome. RNAcentral describes it as "partial contains 5.8S ribosomal RNA, internal transcribed spacer 2, and large subunit ribosomal RNA". The stretch from base 1 to 105 matches the Rfam family "5.8S ribosomal RNA", at positions 50 to 154 of the family's 154-position model. The record is from RNAcentral.
GAAAUGCGAUAAGUAGUGUGAAUUGCAGAAUUUAGCGAAUCAUCGAAUCUUUGAACGCAGAUUGCGCCCCUUGGUAUUCCAUGGGGCAUGCCUGUUCGAGCGUCAUUUCAACCCUCAAGCACUGCUUGGUGUUGGGCGUUUGUCCCGCCUACGCGCGUGGACUCGCCUCAAAGUCAUUGGCGGCUGUUCCCCUUCGGCUCGUAAGCGCAGCACAGUCGGCGCCCGGAGCUCUGGUGGGAUGGCGUCCAGCAAGCUAUAUUUUCAGGCUUGACCUCGGAUCAGGUAGGGAUACCCGCUGAACUUAAGC